This 433-nucleotide ribosomal RNA is filed under the name uncultured bacterium. Its description in RNAcentral is "partial 16S ribosomal RNA". It matches the Rfam family "Bacterial small subunit ribosomal RNA", at positions 29 to 507 of the family's 1533-position model. The record is from RNAcentral.
AACGAACGCUGGCGGCAUGCCUAACACAUGCAAGUCGAACGAGACCUUCGGGUCUAGUGGCGCACGGGUGCGUAACGCGUGGGAACCUGCCCUUAGGUUCGGAAUAACUCCCCGAAAGGGGUGCUAAUACCGGAUAAUGUCUUCGGACCAAAGAUUUAUCGCCUUUGGAUGGGCCCGCGUUGGAUUAGCUAGUUGGUAGGGUAAAAGCCUACCAAGGCGACGAUCCAUAGCUGGUCUGAGAGGAUGAUCAGCCGCACUGGGACUGAGACACGGCCCAGACUCCUACGGGAGGCAGCAGUGGGGAAUAUUGGACAAUGGGCGAAAGCCUGAUCCAGCAACGCCGCGUGAGUGAUGAAGGCCUUAGGGUUGUAAAGCUCUUUUACCCGGGAUGAUAAUGACAGUACCGGGAGAAUAAGCUCCGGCUAACUCCGUG